GUAUUGGUGCUUCAGUGGUAGAAUUCUCGCCUUCCAAGCAGGACACCUGGGAUCAAUUCCUGGCCGAUGCA
Molecule: transfer RNA, 71 nt
Filed under: Loxodonta africana (African savanna elephant)
Lineage: Eukaryota; Metazoa; Chordata; Mammalia; Proboscidea; Elephantidae
Rfam family: tRNA
About the family: Transfer RNA (tRNA) molecules are approximately 80 nucleotides in length. Their secondary structure includes four short double-helical elements and three loops (D, anti-codon, and T loops).
Source: Rfam by way of RNAcentral